UGUUUGAUCCUGGCUCAGGAUGAACGCUGGCGGCGUGCCUAAUACAUGCAAGUCGAGCGAACAGACGAGGAGCUUGCUCCUCUGACGUUAGCGGCGGACGGGUGAGUAACACGUGGAUAACCUACCUAUAAGACUGGGAUAACUUCGGGAAACCGGAGCUAAUACCGGAUAAUAUAUUGAACCGCAUGGUUCAAUAGUGAAAGACGGUUUUGCUGUCACUUAUAGAUGGAUCCGCGCCGCAUUAGCUAGUUGGUAAGGUAACGGCUUACCAAGGCAACGAUGCGUAGCCGACCUGAGAGGGUGAUCGGCCACACUGGAACUGAGACACGGUCCAGACUCCUACGGGAGGCAGCAGUAGGGAAUCUUCCGCAAUGGGCGAAAGCCUGACGGAGCAACGCCGCGUGAGUGAUGAAGGUCUUCGGAUCGUAAAACUCUGUUAUUAGGGAAGAACAAAUGUGUAAGUAACUAUGCACGUCUUGACGGUACCUAAUCAGAAAGCCACGGCUAACUACGUGCCAGCAGCCGCGGUAAUACGUAGGUGGCAAGCGUUAUCCGGAAUUAUUGGGCGUAAAGCGCGCGUAGGCGGUUUUUUAAGUCUGAUGUGAAAGCCCACGGCUCAACCGUGGAGGGUCAUUGGAAACUGGAAAACUUGAGUGCAGAAGAGGAAAGUGGAAUUCCAUGUGUAGCGGUGAAAUGCGCAGAGAUAUGGAGGAACACCAGUGGCGAAGGCGACUUUCUGGUCUGUAACUGACGCUGAUGUGCGAAAGCGUGGGGAUCAAACAGGAUUAGAUACCCUGGUAGUCCACGCCGUAAACGAUGAGUGCUAAGUGUUAGGGGGUUUCCCCCCCUUAGUGUUGCAGCUAACGCAGAAAGCACUCCCGCG
Molecule: ribosomal RNA, 883 nt
Filed under: Staphylococcus sp.
Lineage: Bacteria; Bacillati; Bacillota; Bacilli; Caryophanales; Staphylococcaceae
Description: bacterial SSU rRNA
Rfam family: Bacterial small subunit ribosomal RNA
Source: RNAcentral